RNAcentral lists this transfer RNA (62 nucleotides) under Leucophoroptera quadrimaculata. RNAcentral describes it as "tRNA-His". The record is from RNAcentral. Lineage: Eukaryota; Metazoa; Arthropoda; Insecta; Hemiptera; Miridae.
GUUUGAAUAGUUUAUAAAGAAUAAUAAUUUGUGAUGUUAUAGGUGAAUUAGUUCUUCAAAUC